GGGGGCAUAGCUCAGUGGUAGAGUGCAUGCUUAGCAUGCACGAGGUCCUGGGUUCAAUCCCUAGCACCUCCA
Molecule: transfer RNA, 72 nt
Filed under: Camelus bactrianus (Bactrian camel)
Lineage: Eukaryota; Metazoa; Chordata; Mammalia; Artiodactyla; Camelidae
Also listed under: 2 other names
Rfam family: tRNA
About the family: Transfer RNA (tRNA) molecules are approximately 80 nucleotides in length. Their secondary structure includes four short double-helical elements and three loops (D, anti-codon, and T loops). Further hydrogen bonds mediate the characteristic L-shaped molecular structure. tRNAs have two regions of fundamental functional importance: the anti-codon, which is responsible for specific mRNA codon recognition, and the 3' end, to which the tRNAs corresponding amino acid is attached (by aminoacyl-tRNA synthetases). tRNAs cope with the degeneracy of the genetic code in two manners: having more than one tRNA (with a specific anti-codon) for a particular amino acid; and 'wobble' base-pairing, i.e. permitting non-standard base-pairing at the 3rd anti-codon position.
Source: Rfam by way of RNAcentral